AAAUAACAUUCGUGAAUUUUUUCGCGGAUUUGAGUUUUCCAGUAUUUAAUUAUAAAUGUUGGUAACUUUAAAAUUAUUUAUUACUUGGUACAAGUUGAAAACGUACUAUAUGUGGUUCGCUGACAACUUGUCCAUCUUUAUAUAUUAUGUGCGCACUUUGACUUUAUACUUUGUGCGAGCAUAUAUUUUUU
Molecule: unclassified non-coding RNA, 191 nt
Filed under: uncultured Diversispora
Lineage: Eukaryota; Fungi; Glomeromycota; Glomeromycetes; Diversisporales; Diversisporaceae
Description: partial internal transcribed spacer 2
Source: RNAcentral